UCAUAUUUAGUCUAGUACCACACCUUUAGCCCUAUCCAUGCUUCAUACUACAUGCAUUCUUGUGUCAUUAUCAUCAUGUGCAUUCAUGUGCAAAAAGUACGGAGUAUACAGACCGACAUAGCUUAGCUUUAGUUAGGAUUGUAAUUGUAGUUGUUUGGGAUGAUUGACAUUGAGUUCUUGUGGUUAUAUUGUCAUAUUUAUGAGCAUGUGCUGUGAGCGAUCAUGAUUGAGUUCUGUUGAUGCAGUUUGUGAGACGAGAACCAGUACCACUCCCCCGUAAAAAAAAAAAAAAAAGAGAAAAGAACGGGAAAGGAGAAAGAAUGGAACCGGAAAAGUCGAUAAGUCUUUGGUUGUAUUUGAAAAGAAUCUAUAAUACUUAUGAUUUGUUUGGGGUUUGAUUUGGUUAAGGUGAUCCGAGUUCGAGGGAAGUUAUGUA
Molecule: long non-coding RNA, 436 nt
Filed under: Capsella rubella
Lineage: Eukaryota; Viridiplantae; Streptophyta; Magnoliopsida; Brassicales; Brassicaceae
Description: long non-coding RNA (CRUB_LNC000711)
Source: RNAcentral